UACGGAGGGUGCAAGCGUUAUCCGGAUUCACUGGGUUUAAAGGGUGCGUAGGCGGGCAGGUAAGUCCGUGGUGAAAUCCCCGAGCUUAACUCGGGAACUGCCGUGGAUACUAUCUGUCUUGAAUAUUGUGGAGGUUAGCGGAAUAUGUCAUGUAGCGGUGAAAUGCUUAGAUAUGACAUAGAACACCAAUUGCGAAGGCAGCUAGCUAAACAGUUAUUGACGCUGAGGCACGAAAGCGUGGGGAUCAAACAGG
Molecule: ribosomal RNA, 253 nt
Filed under: uncultured bacterium
Lineage: Bacteria
Description: partial 16S ribosomal RNA
Rfam family: Bacterial small subunit ribosomal RNA
Source: RNAcentral